RNAcentral lists this ribosomal RNA (496 nucleotides) under uncultured bacterium. RNAcentral describes it as "partial 16S ribosomal RNA". It matches the Rfam family "Bacterial small subunit ribosomal RNA", at positions 28 to 506 of the family's 1533-position model. The record is from RNAcentral.
GAUGAACGCUGGCGGCGUGCCUAAUACAUGCAAGUCGAGCGAACGGACGAGAAGCUUGCUUUUCUGAUGUUAGCGGCGGACGGGUGAGUAACACGUGGAUAACCUACCUAUAAGACUGGGAUAACUUUGGGAAACCGGAGCUAAUACCGGAUAAUAUUUUGAACCGCAUGGUUCAAAAGUGAAAGACGGUCUUGCUGUCACUUAUAGAUGGAUCCGCGCUGCAUUAGCUAGUUGGUAAGGUAACGGCUUACCAAGGCAACGAUGCAUAGCCGACCUGAGAGGGUGAUCGGCCAAACUGGAACUGAGACACGGUCCAGACUCCUACGGGAGGCAGCAGUAGGGAAUCUUCCGCAAUGGGCGAAAGCCUGACGGAGCAACGCCGCGUGAGUGAUGAAGGUCUUCGGAUCGUAAAACUCUGUUAUUAGGGAAGAACAUAUGUGUAAGUAACUGUGCACAUCUUGACGGUACCUAAUCAGAAAGCCACGGCUAACUACGU